GUGGGAGCGCCGGGCUUCCUCUUUCCGCUCUCACGUGGCGCGCAGCAUGGCGGUGCCGCACGCUGGGGUUCGGUGGCUGCUGAUGGCGCGGGAAUCUGCAGUGACCGCGGCGGCUUUGGGCCUCCCGUCCCUUCCCGGGCGAAGGGGAGACGGCGCGGACUCGGCGGCCGUGUGAGGAGCCCGGCCGGCGGGAAAGCCAAGCGCCGGCCGUGAUGGAGAUGGUCACCGUGUGUGCAAAGGUGGGUGUCUGAAGCUGAGCCACACUCCCAGGACGACACGCGGGAGCCAAGGAGGCGUAAGGGUGUCCUUGAUGAUUUGGAAAUUUGAUCUUCAGAAACAUGGAUGACUUAAAUUUUCUAAGAGGUCUGUCAAGACACUGCAUAGAUGAAUGCAUUUUGUAACAAGGCUAUGAAUAAAAUAUUUAAUAU
Molecule: long non-coding RNA, 428 nt
Organism: Peromyscus maniculatus bairdii (prairie deer mouse)
Lineage: Eukaryota; Metazoa; Chordata; Mammalia; Rodentia; Cricetidae
Source: RefSeq, a predicted model, not a curated record